RNAcentral lists this unclassified non-coding RNA (1486 nucleotides) under Hevea brasiliensis (rubber tree). Lineage: Eukaryota; Viridiplantae; Streptophyta; Magnoliopsida; Malpighiales; Euphorbiaceae. The record is from RNAcentral.
AAAAGAAAAAAGAAAAGAGGUAUCGCGAUUCGCGAUGGAUGUGGAUUUUAAUGGUGAUGUAGCGAGUUUGGAUGCUGAGCUUUUGCAGUUACCUGAGUUGUCUCCUUUGGCUAUUAAAACGAAUCCUUUUGUUGCCGAGAAGCUAUUUGAUCAAUGGCUUUCGCUUCCUGAUACUGCCGCUUUGGUGAAAUCUUUGAUUAAGAAUGCCAAAGGUGGCGGUCCAUUGAAUGUGUCUACUACAUCGUCUGGGACAAAUGUCGCGGCAACUAAUUCUUUGCCGUCCAUGUUUCCUGCUGGAAGUACACCUCCACUUUCUCCAAGAAGUUCAUCUGGUUCACCUCGAAUCUCAAAGCACAGGGCUGGACCCUCUUCAUUGGGGUCUCCUCUGAAAUUAAUUAAUGAGCCUGCAAAAGAACUGAUACCACAGUUUUACUUUCAAAAUGGUCGCCCCCCUCCAAAUGAAUUGAAGGAACGCUGUUUGUUUAGGAUAAACCAGUUCUUUUAUGGUCAUACUGAUGGGCUACAAAUGAAUGAGUUUAAACCAAUUACAAAGGAAAUAUGCAAGCUGCCCUCGUUCUUCUCCGCUGUCCUUUUUAAGAAGAUCGAUGUUGACGGCACUGGCGUCAUAACCAGGGAUGCCUUUGUUGAUUAUUGGAUACACGGGAACAUGUUGACAAAAGAUAUAGCAACUCAAAUGUACACAAUCUUGAAGCAGCCGGACCUUAGAUACCUCGUGCAGGAUGACUUCAAACCCAUUCUUCGGGAACUUUUGGCAACACAUCCAGGGUUGGAGUUCUUACAGAGCACACCUGAAUUUCAAGAGCGUUAUGCUGAAACUGUAGUAUACAGAAUAUUUUAUUACGUAAAUCGAUCGGGUAAUGGCCGUCUUACCCUCAAGGAGCUGAGACGUUCUGACCUUAUUGCUGCAAUGCAACAUGCGGAUGAAGAAGAUGACAUUAACAAGGUCCUAAGGUACUUCUCGUAUGAACAUUUUUACGUGAUAUAUUGCAAGUUUUGGGAGCUCGAUACUGAUCAUGAUUUUCUGAUUGAUAAAGAGAACCUCAUUCGAUAUGGCAAUCAUGCCCUUACGUACAGGAUCGUUGAUAGAAUAUUUUCUCAGGUUCCGAGGAAGUUUACAAGUAAAGUUGAAGGAAAGAUGGGUUAUGAAGACUUCGUUUACUUUAUAUUAUCAGAGGAGGAUAAAACGUCAGAGCCUGGUCUUGAGUACUGGUUCAAAUGCAUAGAUUUGGAUGGAAAUAGUAUUCUGACUAGGAAUGAGAUGCAAUUCUUUUAUGAGGAGCAGUUGCAUAGAAUGGAAUGCAUGGGCCAAGAGCCAGUGCUUUUUGAGGAUAUUUUGUGUCAAAUAGUUGACAUGGUCAGUCCAGAGAAUGAAAGCUAUUUUACAUUACGUGAUUUGAAGGGAAGCAGGCUCUCCGGUAGUGUUUUUAACAUACUUUUUAACCUCAAUAAGUUCAUGGCUUUUGAA